GGAACACAUCGGAAUUUGCCCAGUCGUGGGGGAUAACGUAGGGAAACUUACGCUAAUACCGAUACGACGAUAAGGUGAAAGCGGGGGAUCUGUAAGGACCUCGCGCGGAUGGAUAAGCCGAUGUCGGAUUAGCUAGUUGGCGGGGUAAGAGCCCACCAAGGCGACGAUCCGUAGCUGGUCUGAGAGGAUGAUCAGCACACUGGGACUUGAGACACGGCCCAGACUCCUACGGGAGGCAGCAGUGGGGAAUAUUGGACAAUGGGGGCAACCCUGAUCCAGCAAUGCCGCGUGUGUGAAGAAGGCCUUCGGGUUGUAAAGCACUUUUAUCCGGAACGAAACGCGCAGGGUGAAUAUCCUUGCGAACUGACGGCACCGGAGGAAUAAGCACCGGCUAACUUCGUGCCAGCAGCCGCGGUAAUACGAAGGGUGCAAGCGUUACUCGGAAUUACUGGGCGUAAAGGGUGCGUAGGUGGUUGUCUAAGUUUGCUGUGAAAGCCCCGGGCUCAAACCAGGGAAUGGCAGUGAAUACUGGAUAGCUAGAGUGCGGUAAGGG
This 553-nucleotide ribosomal RNA is filed under the name uncultured bacterium. RNAcentral's name for it is "bacterial SSU rRNA". It matches the Rfam family "Bacterial small subunit ribosomal RNA", at positions 110 to 657 of the family's 1533-position model. The record is from RNAcentral.